AUAAUAAUAAUAAUAAUAAUUGUGUAUUAUUGUUCAAUAUUAGGUUGGUAUUGCCAUCUGCUAUAGAGAGGGAAAGGAGGAAGAGUAAUUUUGAACAUUAUAAGGACACCACACUCUCAGCCUUGUUUCUGGAGCUAAUGGUUAGAAUAUUUGAGUAAGUUACAUAGGAUGAUAAUGAUACUUGAAGAACCACUCCAGUCUGGUUUAUAUGAUGUCCUCCCUACUACUAUUGGAAGGUUUGGUUCCUGAGGAUUUGAGGCUUUUGCUCUGUGGGUGUCAGCAGGUUGAACUUGACGUACUCAAAAAGAUAACAACUUUCACUGACGAGACUUAAAGUUCGAGCUCAUUCCAAUC
RNAcentral lists this long non-coding RNA (354 nucleotides) under Amphimedon queenslandica. Its description in RNAcentral is "uncharacterized LOC109591762, transcript variant X2". Lineage: Eukaryota; Metazoa; Porifera; Demospongiae; Haplosclerida; Niphatidae. The record is from RNAcentral.